RNAcentral lists this unclassified non-coding RNA (215 nucleotides) under plant metagenome. RNAcentral's name for it is "partial contains small subunit ribosomal RNA, internal transcribed spacer 1, and 5.8S ribosomal RNA". The record is from RNAcentral.
UCUCCGUUGGUGAACCAGCGGAGGGAUCAUUACCGAGUUUACAACUCCCAAACCCCUGUGAACAUACCUGUUUUGUUGCUUCGGCGGUGCCCUCGCUCUCGCGGCGAGGCCCGCCAGAGGACCCAAACAAACUCUUUGGCUUUGAUCUAGGAUUAUACUUCUGAGUGAUACAAAAAAUAAAAUCAAAACUUUCAACAACGGAUCUCUUGGUUCUG